This 253-nucleotide ribosomal RNA is filed under the name uncultured bacterium. Its description in RNAcentral is "partial 16S ribosomal RNA". It matches the Rfam family "Bacterial small subunit ribosomal RNA", at positions 524 to 776 of the family's 1533-position model. The record is from RNAcentral.
GACGAACCGUGCGAACGUUAUUCGGAUUCACUGGGCUUAAAGGGCGCGUAGGCGGCGACUCAAGUCGGGGGUGAAAUCGUUCGGCUUAACCGGACAAGGGCUUCCGAUACUGGGUCGCUGGAGGGAGAUAGGGGUGCGCGGAACUUCCGGUGGAGCGGUGAAAUGCGUAGAUAUCGGAAGGAACGCCGGUGGCGAAAGCGGCGCACUGGAUCUCUACUGACGCUGAGGCGCGAAAGCGUGGGGAGCGAACGGG